This 390-nucleotide unclassified non-coding RNA is filed under the name Yarrowia lipolytica. The record is from RNAcentral. Lineage: Eukaryota; Fungi; Ascomycota; Dipodascomycetes; Dipodascales.
GACACAAUGUCGACCCUAGAAGAACGAAUAGCGGCGUACGAAAGUCCACAAUGCAAUAUUCUGGAUGGAUUUAGCCACGAGAAGAUUGUGAGCUCUGGACUAGGUCUGCUAUUUGUGGGGCUGUUCAUUCUUUACAAAGAUGUGAAGUCGGAAGCAUGGGCCUGGAGGGAGAUUAUCACGACCUUUGGGGUUGUGUGGCUCGUCGCGUGGCUGGUCAUCCAUUUUCGCUUGAACAAAAGCAAAGACAAGCCCCAAGUAAACGUCAGAAAAGGGAUUGAAUGAGCCUCCCAUUGAUAUCGGCGCCUGAUCCGUUGUAUCAGAAUGGCCAUGCCUUGUCAAAGCGUACUUGUACAAGUACGUUUGUAUAUACACUUAUUAGAAUUAUAUUGC